Molecule: ribosomal RNA, 292 nt
Filed under: uncultured bacterium
Lineage: Bacteria
Description: partial 16S ribosomal RNA
Rfam family: Bacterial small subunit ribosomal RNA
Source: RNAcentral
GUGCCAGCCGCCGCGGUAAUACGGGGGGAGCAAGCGUUGUUCGGAUUUACUGGGCGUAAAGGGCGCGUAGGCGGCGCAACAAGUCACUUGUGAAAUCUCCGGGCUUAACCCGGAGCGGCCAAGUGAUACUGUCGUGCUAGAGUGCGGAAGGGGCUACUGGAAUUCUCGGUGUAGCGGUGAAAUGCGUAGAUAUCGAGAGGAACACCUGCGGCGAAGGCGGGUAGCUGGGCCGACACUGACGCUGAGGCGCGAAAGCCAGGGGAGCGAACGGGAUUAGAUACCCCCGUAGUCC